RNAcentral lists this ribosomal RNA (407 nucleotides) under uncultured bacterium. RNAcentral describes it as "partial 16S ribosomal RNA". It matches the Rfam family "Bacterial small subunit ribosomal RNA", at positions 30 to 526 of the family's 1533-position model. The record is from RNAcentral.
AUUGAACGCUAGCGGGAUGCCUUACACAUGCAAGUCGAACGGAGUGGCGAACGGGUGAGUAAUGUAUCGGAACGUGCCCAGUAGCGGGGGAUAACUACGCGAAAGCGUAGCUAAUACCGCAUACUAUUGGAGCGGCCGAUAUCGGAUUAGCUAGUUGGUGGGGGAACGGCUCACCAAGGCGACGAUCCGUAGCUGGUUUGAGAGGACGACCCGCCAAACUGGGACUGGGACCAGGCCCCGACUCCUACGGGAGGCAGGCGGGGGGAAUUUUGGGAAAUGGGGGAAACCCGGAUCCCGCCAUCCCGCGUGUGCGAUGAAGGCCUUCGGGUUGUAAAGCACUUUUGGCAGGAAAGCGGUACCUGCAGAAUAAGCACCGGCUAACUACGUGCCAGCAGCCGCGGUAAUUC